GCAUAGCAUAUAUUUGUUAUGCUACAUUAAAAGAGUACUAGUGGUUUUGUGUUGAAGUGUUUAAUGUAUAUUGUCGGUCAGUAAGUCAGAGCACUUUGUUCCAGUUAUAGCUCCAGAAGUCAGUCACCAGCAGCAGAUGUCACACAGUUAUAAAAUGGGAAACUUGAAGAAUAAGCUCCAGAAGUCAGCAGCAGCAGCAGACGUCACACAGCCAUAAUGCGAGAAGCUUGAAGAAUAAUGUGUUAUGGCUCCGAUAGUCUUCCAGCAGCAGCAAAUGUUACACAGUCCUAUAGAGGCAAACUUGAAGUAUAAAGUAAUAGUGUUUUGCAUACAAUGGCAAACUUGACCUUUCGCUUAAAAUGGAGUAUCGGCUUUGAAAUUUGGUCACUGGAUACAACUAUAUUAUCUUUCAUGUUGAUAGCAGCAAUCAUCAGAUUGCAAUCCAGUUAAGUACCUGUGAGGCAUGAGAUGUCAAAAAUACUUGUGGGUUAUUGGUAGCCUGUGUCAAGGCAUGUGGCACCUCAAAGUUUGUAAGUACAGUAGCAUUUUGUUUUCUGCUUUACUUAAAAAUUGGUAGCUGUAGCACCCAUUCUGACAUUCAAUUAUUUUGAAUUUCAAGUUUCUUAGAAUGAUACUGACAUCAGUUUGUUAACACUAAUCCGUAUAUUAUUGUUAAUAUAUGCUGCUAUUUUCCUCAGAUGUUAACUGAAAUUGUUUUAUUGUUAUAAUAACAACACUUCAGCCUUUGCAAACUUGCAGUAUAGGUUACCUGCUGAGAAAUAUUUACUGGAAGAAAUGGUUUCUUGAAUAGGACCGAAAGGAAAACCACUGAAAAUGCCAAACGUGAAUUGGUGAAACAUCUUGUGCUCAAUACUAAAUUUCAUUUGCAAAACACGGAAGUUUUCCUAUCUUUGUGGUGGAACACAACAAAUUCUCAUAAUUUUGCUAGUUUGUAUUCUAGAAAGGGUGCCAGAAAUGGAAGAGUAUAAUUUUUAUUA
This is a long non-coding RNA of Schistocerca nitens (vagrant locust), 998 nucleotides long. RefSeq lists it as uncharacterized. NCBI's taxonomy places the organism in Eukaryota, Metazoa, Arthropoda, Insecta, Orthoptera, Acrididae. The transcript has 4 exons. The record is from RefSeq and is a predicted model, not a curated record.